AAUACAUUGGUGCUAUUGAGAGUUAAAAGUCAGAACUCAUGAUGGAGUCUCGGUCAUGAAAGAGCCCAAGGCAGGCAGUUGCCCCCAGAAUGACAAGACAACGUAAAGAGAGAAAAAGUAGCUUGAAGCUAUUCUUGAAAAGUCAGUCAGGGAGAGAAGCAAUCUAAGGGGAAAGAAGAGUAGGAACAAAGGUAUAGAGGAAUCUGUAGUAAUUUGAGAAACAGAGCAGAGCUGCAUGAUGUGCAGGGCCAAGACAGGGAUGCAUGGGAUAGGGAGAGUUACAAGCUGCAGAGGGGAGAGGUAAAUUAAGCAUGGUUUUUGCAAGCUAUGCUGAAGAUCUUAGAAGGGCCAACGGACAACAGUGAAAGAUUUUAAGCAGGAAAGAAAUAUGGACACCAUCAGACUGGUGUCAGAAACCCUGUAAAGAGAAACUAGAAUUCCAGAAAUCCAAAGACAAAGCCAGGAGAUUCUAAAGAUAGAGAGAGUAAGAAGAACAAGGAGAAGUGGGCAGAGCCAUAGUGAACUAGGGCCACACACGACACUUCAGUGAAAGGGUGGAGGUUCACCAAGCACAGCUACUCUUAGUGGUUCAUGUAGCUGAGUCAGAGUGAGAAGCUACUGGUCAAAAGUCAGUGCCCAGUGUAGCGUCACUGAGCAAGAACAGCCUCAUAACAGCUCCCUUCAUGGAACCCCUGCCUCACCUAAAAUGAAUGGAAAGUUCUAGAGCAAGAAAGCUACAAGAUAAUGCAGCAAGAAGACCAG
This 762-nucleotide long non-coding RNA is filed under the name Pan troglodytes (chimpanzee). Its description in RNAcentral is "long non-coding RNA NONPTRT009107". The record is from RNAcentral. Lineage: Eukaryota; Metazoa; Chordata; Mammalia; Primates; Hominidae.